Molecule: non-coding RNA, 784 nt
Filed under: Metaphire soulensis
Lineage: Eukaryota; Metazoa; Annelida; Clitellata; Crassiclitellata; Megascolecidae
Source: RNAcentral
CAGUUUGAUUCUGACUGAAAAAUUAACUAUCUACCACCCAACAUACAUGUAAGAUAUUUAAACCCGCCAUUAACUAUUUCUAAAUGACUAAAUAAAAUGUAUUCAGACAUCCUAAAUACAAUAGAGCGCCACAGUAGAUAACACUUUUCAAUUUGAGAAAUCAAGAAAAGAGUAUGGUAUAAGGGCUGGCAAAAUUCGUGCCAGCUGCCGCGGUUAGACGAUAAACCCAAGUUAAUAUAAUAUAAACUAAUUAAUGAUAGGUUAAACAACAAUAAAAGUCUAAUUUUUAAAGUUCUUGACCCGUAUCUAUCAGUAAACAAUGAAAUCAUGAACUAAAACAUGGAUUAGAUACCCAUUUAUUCAUGACAUAAAUAACAGUUGAAUAUUACGAACAACAGUUUAAAAUUCAAAGAUUUUGGCGGUGUCUUAUAAAACCAGGGGAACCUGUCUCAUAACUCGAUAAUCCACGUAUAUUCAACCUUCUUUAGAUCCCAGCAUGUGUACUGCCGUUGUAAGCAUACCUUUAAAAGCAAGUAUGCUAUCAUGACUAAACACCACAUACAUCAGGUCAAAGUGCAGCUAAUAAGAAGGAGAUGAUGGGUUACAACCCUAAACAAGAUAAUCAACUAAGAAAUAAAAAAUCUUACGAAAGUGGACUUGGCUGUAAUUAAUUUACAAGUUAAAAAAAUGAAUAAAACCCUAAGACAUGUACACAUCGCCCGUCACUCUAUCCUAAAGGUUAGAUAAGUCGUAACAAAGUAGGUGUAAUGGAAAUUGCACCUGU